RNAcentral lists this ribosomal RNA (429 nucleotides) under uncultured bacterium. Its description in RNAcentral is "partial 16S ribosomal RNA". It matches the Rfam family "Bacterial small subunit ribosomal RNA", at positions 29 to 506 of the family's 1533-position model. The record is from RNAcentral.
AACGAACGCUGGCGGCAGGCUUAACACAUGCAAGUCGAGCGCCCCGCAAGGGAGCGGCAGACGGGUGAGUAACGCGUGGGAACGUACCUUUUGGUUCGGAACAACUCCGGGAAACUGGAGCUAAUACCGGAUAAGCCCUAACGGGGAAAGAUUUAUCGCCGAAAGAUCGGCCCGCGUCUGAUUAGCUAGUUGGUGAAGUAACGGCUCACCAAGGCGACGAUCAGUAGCUGGUCUGAGAGGAUGAUCAGCCACACUGGGACUGAGACACGGCCCAGACUCCUACGGGAGGCAGCAGUGGGGAAUAUUGGACAAUGGGCGCAAGCCUGAUCCAGCCAUGCCGCGUGAGUGAUGAAGGCCUUAGGGUUGUAAAGCUCUUUUGUCCGGGAAGAUAAUGACUGUACCGGAAGAAUAAGCCCCGGCUAACUUCGU